CAGGGAUUGAAUACAGGGGCUCUUAAGCACUGAGCCACAUCCCUAGCCCCUUUUUACAUUUUAUUUAGACAAGUUCUUACUAAGUUGCUUAGGGCCUUGCUAAAUUGCUGAGACUAAUGUUGAACUUGUGAUCCUCCUGCCUCAGCCUCCCAAGGUGUUGGGAUUACAGGCAUCCCCCUCUGUGCCCAGGCCUGUCAGUAUAAACUUCUGUGUAGUUUACCCAGUGCAGUACUCAGUCAUGGGAACCAAUAAAUGUCCUUUAAAACAACAUUUUUUUUUUUGUUUUGCCUAAACUGAGUUGUAAGGCUGCUAAUUUUUAAAGUCAGAGUCUUUUUUUUUUUCCCAGAGUCUUGACUAAUACAAAUACUUUGUUUUAAAGGAGGGAAGUGAUUGUGUAAUCCUUUGUGAUAUUGUCCAUUCUGCCUCUGAUGAGAAGGAAUAUUAUCCCCAAGUGGAAAAUACUCCUAGCACGCUGACCAAGAUCAAGAGAACCCUGAUACAGUUGAGCUAGGGCUUGAUGAUUUCUUUGGACUCUCUGGAGUUGCAUUCUGUCAUAAUGAUUGCUGAUAGGAUGUGCAGUGUUCACUCCAUCAAGCAGAAUCUGAAUCUCUCAAGUCUUUGGAGUUAUUUGAAGAAGCUGUGGUCCUUUCAUCUCUUCUGCUUUCCUUGGAGUUUGUUCUGUUUCCUUUCAUCUCCAUCUCAGCACUCUGAAAAGGUAUAAUGGCAUGAGAUCUAGAGUCUGGGUGUGUAUGAAGUAUACGGGCAUGUUCUGAGCAAUCAGAAUUAAUCAUGUGACACCUGUGUGCUACUCCCUUUAUCAUUGCAGUUAAAAACAACAACAACAACAACAACAACAAAACAGGACUAGGUGACUGGGCUUAUCCCCAGGGAAGGCUUAUACUACAGUCCUCCCUGCCUGGCGGAGGCACAGGAAGAAGGCUGGUAACAUUGAGUGACCAGCUGAUUGCCGGCCUGAGGAAUAUCCCCAAAAUCCGUGUUGCCAUUGUUUGGGAGUCUGCCCACCUUCUCAUCAGCUUGUCCCUCUCUUCCUUCAGAAAGUGCUCAGAAUGCUUCAGGAAGCCUUGCUCGAUUUCUUUUAGUGCUAAUAAACCCAUCAUUUGUUGUUUCUUACAUGUGCCCUUCCAUUUCUUUGGGCCCCCAAUGUACUAUAUAUUAUUUGGAGAUAAGAACAGUGUAUACUGGGUUUCCUUUAAGAACAUCAUAGAAAAUAAUGGGGAUAAGGGCUCAAAGGCAGCUUAAUGGAUGGUAGGGCAUGUCCAAAGUUUCAUGGUCAUAUAAAAGAAUAAAACUGGGAGGAAAGUACUUUGUGGUAUGUGCUUCUAAGGUAGAAAAGCUGAGAGA
This 1362-nucleotide long non-coding RNA is filed under the name Marmota monax (woodchuck). Lineage: Eukaryota; Metazoa; Chordata; Mammalia; Rodentia; Sciuridae. The record is from RNAcentral.